Molecule: ribosomal RNA, 24 nt
Filed under: Fusarium poae
Lineage: Eukaryota; Fungi; Ascomycota; Sordariomycetes; Hypocreales; Nectriaceae
Also listed under: 13 other names
Description: partial 28S ribosomal RNA
Source: RNAcentral
UUGACCUCGGAUCAGGUAGGAAUA